UAAAUAUUUAGAACAGCCAUUAAUUUUACAAAUUUUCGCGAGAGACGUCAUUUAUGCCAUGUGUUUGCCACGUAAUAAAGCGAGAAAAGCUCUUUAUUAUUGAAAUUACGGCAGGCGACAGCAGGAAGAGAGAGAAAAUGUCUCGCGUGGAUCCACCCCGCUCGCUCGUACCUAGCCCGGCAAACACGCCGCACCGCACUUCCCGGAUUGUUUUAGGGUGCGCCAAAAAGCCGGGGAAACCGCCAGUCGAAGCUCAACCGGACGCUAGAAAUUAUUUAUGCUGGGACACGCCUGCCAACGCACGCGCACGUCGUGUACAUCCCCCUGUCGUUCCAGCACCGCGACGCAGCGAAUCUGAAGGAGCCUCGAAAUGCCACAGUGCGAUGUCUUGGAGUAGCAAAGAUGUGGGUGCACUGCCUCCUUGGAUAUCCGCUGUGGACCCACUCCAGCUUUAGGAAUAGCAAUAUCCUACACUGGAACA
Long non-coding RNA from Ostrinia nubilalis (European corn borer), 481 nucleotides. RefSeq lists it as uncharacterized. Lineage: Eukaryota; Metazoa; Arthropoda; Insecta; Lepidoptera; Crambidae. The record is from RefSeq and is a predicted model, not a curated record. The transcript is spliced from 4 exons.